AGGAUGUAUGAAACGGGAAUUAAACCAGGGAGACUACUAGCAAGAUUGGUUAAAGGCUCACCUUCGCUGUAUUCUUCUCCGACGUGUCUGCAAGAUAUCCCAUCUGAUGACCCAGGAUUGCCAUCUCUGCCAGGGCUGCCAUUGUUUCGCCUACACUAAAAACAAGGGGCGGGAGGCUUAAGCAAGGUACUGGAAGGGGUAACUCCUGUGGUGCUUUUGUAGGAUUCCCAAUACAGCGGUACAUGAAGUGACGUCGAAGUGACCGACUGAAAGGGAACGUGCAAAUGGGUGGGUUAGCAGCAAGUGGGUGGAGCUUUAGCCGCAAGUGGGCUGUACAAACUUCCAGAGGAUUCACCACCGUCCCAUUUGAAGCGUAAACUGUGUCAUAUUUGUAGUCAAAAUGUAACAUCAAUUUCGAAUUUGGUGCCUAUUUGACAGAGAAAAUGAGUGUUUGUAGUCUCACCUCCUUUACAAAGAUAUAGGACUUCGUUCUUUCAAUGAUGCAAAAUUAUGAUUUUUACAUCAUUGAAAGAAGGAAGUGCAACACUGAAAUCCAUAUUUCUCCUGUCUCAGGGGAAACAGAGGGAAUAAUGCACGACCAUUCAAAAACAUGACUGUGUUUCUAUACACAGCUUAAUGCAAAUGGGUGAAGUGUCCCUUUAAGUCAUCAAAUAUUUAUAUAUCAGUAUGGUUAAAAACAUUUGGUAAUUUUUUAUUGUAAGAAAUUUAUGCUAAUGACAAGCUAAAGUGCAGAAUGAUGUCACAAAAAUGUGCACUAAGCUAAAGAUAGAAUGGAAAAAACUUUUUGGUUAUGACUAGUGAUGCACCGAUGUAUCCAUUAUAUGUAAAAAAAUGAGUUAAUGUUGUUAAUAAAAUAAAUGCUGAAUAGCAAAAACCACCUUUUGUAGGUUGUCAUGCUGUCUUAUUAUAUUAGUUUUAGCUUAAUUUGUGCCUCUCCUAUUAU
Molecule: non-coding RNA, 964 nt
Organism: Paramisgurnus dabryanus
Lineage: Eukaryota; Metazoa; Chordata; Actinopteri; Cypriniformes; Cobitidae
Source: RefSeq, a predicted model, not a curated record